GCUUGCUCCUCUGAUCAGUGGCGAACGGGUGAGUAACACGUGAGCAAUCUGCCCUUGACUCUGGGAUAAGCGUUGGAAACGACGUCUAAUACCGGAUACGACCUUGGAAGGCAUCUUCUGGGGUGGAAAGAAUUUUGGUCAAGGAUGAGCUCGCGGCCUAUCAGCUAGUUGGUGAGGUAAUGGCUCACCAAGGCGACGACGGGUAGCCGGCCUGAGAGGGUGACCGGCCACACUGGGACUGAGACACGGCCCAGACUCCUACGGGAGGCAGCAGUGGGGAAUAUUGCACAAUGGGCGAAAGCCUGAUGCAGCAACGCCGCGUGAGGGACGACGGCCUUCGGGUUGUAAACCUCUUUUAGUAGGGAAGAAGCGAGGUACUUGUGACUGAGUGACGGUACCUGCAGAAAAAGCACCGGCUAACUACGUGCCAGCAGCCGCGGUAAUACGUAGGGUGCAAGCGUUGUCCGGAAUUAUUGGGCGUAAAGAGCUCGUAGGCGGUUUGUCGCGUCUGCUGUGAAAACCCGAGGCUCAACCUCGGGCCUGCAGUGGGUACGGGCAGACUAGAGUGCGGUAGGGGAGAUUGGAAUUCCUGGUGUAGCGGUGGAAUGCGCAGAUAUCAGGAGGAACACCAAUGGCGAAGGCAGAUCUCUGGGCCGUAACUGACGCUGAGGAGCGAAAGCAUGGGGAGCGAACAGGAUUAGAUACCCUGGUAGUCCAUGCCGUAAACGUUGGGAACUAGAUGUGGGGACCAUUCCACGGUCUCCGUGUCGCAGCUAACGCAUUAAGUUCCCCGCCUGGGGAGUACGGCCGCAAGGCUAAAACUCAAAGGAAUUGACGGGGGCCCGCACAAGCGGCGGAGCAUGCGGAUUAAUUCGAUGCAACGCGAAGAACCUUACCAAGGCUUGACAUAUAGAGGAAACGUCUGGAAACAGUCGCCCCGCAAGGUCUCUAUACAGGUGGUGCAUGGUUGUCGUCAGCUCGUGUCGUGAGAUGUUGGGUUAAGUCCCGCAACGAGCGCAACCCUCGUCC
This 1029-nucleotide ribosomal RNA is filed under the name Cryobacterium breve. RNAcentral describes it as "bacterial SSU rRNA". It matches the Rfam family "Bacterial small subunit ribosomal RNA", at positions 78 to 1110 of the family's 1533-position model. The record is from RNAcentral. Lineage: Bacteria; Bacillati; Actinomycetota; Actinomycetes; Micrococcales; Microbacteriaceae.